GCCGCAGGACGGCUUCUCGUAAAAUUGGAAACAGAGAGGAUUAGCAUGGCCCCUGCGCAAGGAUGACACGCACAAAAAAGAGGAUGGCUUCU
This 92-nucleotide small nuclear RNA is filed under the name Zostera marina. Lineage: Eukaryota; Viridiplantae; Streptophyta; Magnoliopsida; Alismatales; Zosteraceae. The record is from RNAcentral.